UCGUACUUGUAUUUAUUAACCCGUCCGCUGCGAUUGACACGGAUUUGGCCUUCACUGGUAGCCUGGUAACAUACACUCCCAGGUCUUUCUCUGCCUCUGUGGUGGAUAGUGGAGUGUUUCCCAUGUGGUAUUGGUGUGCUGGAUAUCCCUUCACUGGUAGCCUGGUAACAUACACUCCCAGGUCUUUCUCUGCCUCUGUGGUGGAUAGUGGAGUGUUUCCCAUGUGGUAUUGGUGUGCUGGAUAUCCCUUCACUGGUAGCCUGGUAACAUACACUCCCAGGUCUUUCUCUGCCUCUGUGGUGGAUAGUGGAGUGUUUCCCAUGUGGUAUUGGUGUGCUGGAUAUCCCUUCACUGGUAGCCUGGUAACAUACACUCCCAGGUCUUACUCUGCCUCUGUGGUGGAUAGUGGAGUGUUUCCCAUGUGGUAUUGGUAUGCUGGAUAUCCCUUCACUGGUAGCCUGGUAACAUACACUCCCAGGUCUUUCUCUGCCUCUGUGGUGGAUAGUGGAGUGUUUCCCAUGUGGUAUUGGUGUGCUGGAUAUCCCUUCACUGGUAGCCUGGUAACAUACACUCCCAGGUCUUUCUCUGCCUCUGUGGUGGAUAGUGGAGUGUUUCCCAUGUGGUAUUGGUAUGCUGGAUAUCCCUUCACUGGUAGCCUGGUAACAUACACUCCCAGGUCUUUCUCUGCCUCUGUGGUGGAUAGUGGAGUGUUUCCCAUGUGGUAUUAGUAUCCUGGACUUUACAUUUUUCUUCAUUGAAUUGUUGCAGCCACUUUUUGUUCCACUCCUGUAGCUUGGUGAUGUCUUCUGGUAGGAAAUCCGCAGUCAAGGGAUUAAACAUUUUAUAUUACCUACAUUUCAUUGAAGCUUUUGUUAGGUAGGCACGGCAGUUUGUCAGGUCUUAUUUGUGUUUGCUUUUUCUAUUAUUAUCAUUAUCAUCAUUAUCAUAAGGAGAGUAUCAGACACCUCUCCUCCUGAAAUUGACCUCUCUUUCGGCCACUCCUCUGAACUCUUUUAUAGGAGCAGCAAGUAGAGGGCUUUUUUCCCCACCCCUAAUCACAC
Molecule: long non-coding RNA, 1061 nt
Organism: Eriocheir sinensis (Chinese mitten crab)
Lineage: Eukaryota; Metazoa; Arthropoda; Malacostraca; Decapoda; Varunidae
Exons: 5
Source: RefSeq, a predicted model, not a curated record